This is a long non-coding RNA of Manacus vitellinus (golden-collared manakin), 3307 nucleotides long. RefSeq lists it as uncharacterized. The transcript has 3 exons. The record is from RefSeq and is a predicted model, not a curated record. Lineage: Eukaryota; Metazoa; Chordata; Aves; Passeriformes; Pipridae.
CAGGAUACAGAUAAAAGCAAUCACUCCAGAACUGCAUGAGGUGCCUGGGUCCACAUUUGCAGAACUGGUGGACAGUUCUGGUCAUUAAUGAUAAGGAGAACUGGCGUGAGCCAGUGCAAUCUGCAUCUGAAUUUGCCUGAUAAAAUUUGUUUUUCUGGAAGAGCGUGGAUGAUAGUGGUUAAGUGGCAGGGUUGUUUACAUGUUAAUAUUGAGGCCAUUGCUAUACCUGGGUGAAAUGGGGGUAGAAGAGGCCUGUUAGUAGGUUGUCCACAAUAGUUUACAUCACAUAAGCCAGAAUGUAGAGGAUCAAUCUGUUCUAAGUUUAGUUUUCUCUUAAUUUAAAUUAGAAGUAACUACUAAAUUGAAUUACUCUAAGUUUUUAAUGAAAUAAGAAAAGGGAGGAUCUUUAUUCAUCAUCAGGAACUCUGAUAGUAGCUACUUAAAACUUUUUCGCAAGACGUGGUAAGGUGACUAAUUUUUUUGUUUCAUUUUGCAACAUGGGAAACUGCCACCUCCAUUUCCUAGAGCCGUUCUGGUCGGGGAGAUGCUCUGGGUAAAUCUGGUUGAACCACUCUCUGUCCUCUGUUGAAACUUCCACAGCUCAGGAGGGACAGCAAGCUUGAACGUGCCAGCAGGACAGUAAACAGGAAAUAACAGUAUUCGUAGCAGCACAGGAAAAUAAGCAAAAUAAAAUGAAAAGUUUGGUGUCAUUCUAAGAGCAACAAGAAGAACUGGACAGUGCCUGCUGUAAACUCAGCAUUCAUCCUGGCACCAGGAAGAAACUGCAAAAUCAUUUCUCUGAAAUUUUAAUGAACUCCGACGAGAAUGCUGCUGGUUAAUGGACUUUAUGCAAUGGGCGGAAACUCAUCCAUUCACAGUCCAACUUUUCAUGAGGUUGGCUUGGUUUGCUAAUAUUCAUUAUCACUUUACAUCUACCUCUUUUGAAUGCUGGUGUGGAUGCAGCUGAUCUCAAAAAUCUAACCUUGUGCUUGACUUUGUUCCAAGCCAGGAUGAGAAGUGCAUGGAGCACCAGAGGGAUCUCAGUGGAAUUUGAUUGCAAUUCUUUUACUGUCUGGACUGUGUGAGCAUGUCUGUACCACACAGUCAAUGCUACAUCACAUCAAGAUACUGGAAUAAGCUCUGCAUGAGGCAGGAUUUGCAUGGGAAGCAGCACAGCCACUGCACCCAAGCUAAGAUACCCCUUGUUUCAGUAGGGUCCUUUGCCUCUGGGGGACACCAAACAAGCAGAGACACAGUGUUUGUAGGUCCCUUCUUCUGACAUCUUUUUGUGUUAGCACAAUGUGAAGUAAAGGUGUAACUCCAACUUUUUCUGUUGCCACUGUUUCACUUCCCAGAAAUACUCUAGUGUUCACGAAGAUACAGAGCAUGUGGGAACUACUGUUUAGAUUUUGAGCCAGUGAGCCCACGCAUACCGGUAACAAUCACAAACACAACAGCCUUUUCUGUAUGAAAUAAAAGUGUGCUUAUCCAAAUCAGUUUACAGGAUUGGAAACUUAAAAAAAAAUUUCACAAUUUCCAUUUUGUGGAACCAUUUUGAACAACUUUUAAUUCACAUGACAAGGAUUUUAGGACUUUAACAUUUUCAUCAUUAAACAACAUUUUAUUUCAGAUUAAAAUAAAAUAUUCUUUCUAAAUGCAUGACAAUAAAACCUGAUGUCUUAGCUCCCCAUACUUGCUCCUCUGAGAAAAUAAAGUGUCAAAUACCCUAAAUUCCACACUCUGGAGCAAUUUAGAUCUCCUUAGAGAUCACAGUUUGAACUACAAAUGCAAUAAGGGCUGCAUCCUGCUGUAGCUGAAAUCCUUCCUAAGUCUACUUCUGCUUUUCAAUCUCUCUAAUUUUUCAUUAGAUCAAGAGUCACACAUUUUUGUUGGCAGUAAAGCAAUUCCAAUUUGAACUGCCUUCUGUCUUCAAUAGGAAUUUUCCCAAAGUACAGAAAUAAAAAUGUAAAACUUUGCUGUGUUUCAUUACUUUCAUUCUUUUGAACAUUGCGGCUCUGAAAGCUCUGUGUGAAAUUAUUAGAAGAUGGGUUUUGAAAUGCUUGUGAAAGUAGAUGCAUAUAUGGGACUCAAAGGGCCUUAUUUAAAAAAGAAAUUUGCCAGUUACCCAGAUCUCUGGUUGGUUAUGCCCAUUCAAGGAUACAGAAUCCAUCAUUCCUAUGAUUAUUUUUACAUCUGAACUUUUUUUUUUAUACUAGAUAGACUUGAAACUUUCAGGGUCAUUUGCCCAGCAUGUAGUUGAAUGUCCUGUGCUAUAGAUUCCAAUUAGCAAGACCAUGUUCAAUGGUCCUACACCUCCAAUGCUGUCUAACUGCUUUCCACUUGGCUUUAUAUGUUUCUUCUUUGUUGCAGCUGCAACCAGGUCUAUCUACCCUUUGAUAGAAAAAUUUCAAUUACCCCAGGGAGAAGCUUUUAGCUUUAUUAAGCAUUGAAGUCUACACAUUUGUUCUUCUGUUGAAGAGCAGUUCAAAAGGAGACUUUCUGAGGAAGUAAUCUGAUAAAUUAGGAUAAAUCUUGUGGACUUUCACUGCUAAUGUUUUUCCUGUAGUCUGAGCCUAAGAAUCUGCCAACUCAAUGUACAGUUAAGCAUUUCUUUAACACUUUUAGCCACUGACAGAUGUUUCUUAUACUUUACAAGUAAAUGGCUCUUCAGUGUUUUUUGAGACUGCUGUGCUCUCAGCAUAAAAUUGAUGUCACAGAAGGCUGGAGAGCUGUGCUCCAGCCUUGAUAGACAGUGACAGAAAACUGUUCCCAUCUGGUGGCUCUGUACUGGCCUCUGAGUAAACUAAUGGUUUCCUUUCUGAGACGAUGGGUGUCAGCUCAUCACCUCCCUGCUGCCCAGAGUAACCUCAGUUAUCUCAGGAAAAGCAAGGCCUGCAUACACCAGGUCUCUAAUCUGCCCUCGCUUUGUUGUCAUUGGCCUCUCGGGGGAGUGGGGUGGCCAAGUGAGGUGGAGGAAAGCUGGCAAUAACACUGUUGUAAGUCACAUCUCUUUGUAGAUAAAAAAAAAAGGAGCUGCUCUUCCUAAUGCUGUCAAUCUUGUAUUUUAUUUCAUUGGUGGGUUCAUUUAUGCCAGUAAAUAAGGCUGUCAUUUCUGCUUUUUAGUGUUUGAGAAUUCCACAAAAGUUUCACGUCGCUGGUUUGAAAUCGAAUCUUUCAUUAUUGUCUCUAUCUUGCAAAUUAAUUUAUUACUGUAUUUGAAGUCCUAAAUGCCUCUUGAGAGAACUGAACAUACAGUCUAACAAUCUACCCAUAAAGAGCAAACAUGAGUUACACAUUUAAAGAAGAU